GUGUGCGGGUGUGGGUGUGUUGGGUGCAUGUGUGCUCACGUGCACACACACACUUACAUAGAGGUGCAGG
This 70-nucleotide microRNA precursor is filed under the name Dipodomys ordii (Ord's kangaroo rat). RNAcentral describes it as "miRNA (ENSDORG00000023856.1)". Lineage: Eukaryota; Metazoa; Chordata; Mammalia; Rodentia; Heteromyidae. The record is from RNAcentral.